Molecule: small nucleolar RNA, 86 nt
Organism: Humulus lupulus (European hop)
Lineage: Eukaryota; Viridiplantae; Streptophyta; Magnoliopsida; Rosales; Cannabaceae
Product: small nucleolar RNA snoR8a
Exons: 1
Source: RefSeq, a predicted model, not a curated record
GGCCUUGCUAUGAUUAUAAAAAUUUAUCGUUCUGAAUGCGAUUACCAUUGCAUGACAGACUUUUACACCCAUAGAAUAUGAGCAGU